AGGCGUAAAUUAUCGAUAAUUCGAUCAAUCGAUACAUCGCAAAGCUCGCCACGCCACUGUUCAGUAUAAAUAAGACGACUCAGCUCGCGAAGCGGUUCAGUAUUUUUUCUUCAUUUCCAGCGUUUAAAUCUCCAGUGAAGUGUUUGAUAAUAUUCACCUUGUUCCAACCUCAGGCCGCGAGAAUGUUCGCCCGCAGUCUCUAACGAUCCCUCACUUUCUGCAAUUCAUCUAUUUUAAAACCAAUACAACUGUUGCUGGAACCGGGUUUAACAUCCAGUCCCUGGCACCACGAGCAGAUUCCAGGGUCAGUUUCAACGCAGAACUGAAUACCGCGGUUUCUCUCGUUUUGCUUGCACUAAACUAUCCACGUAUUCAUCUGAAAAUUUGUUUGUCGCCUUUCUUAAAAUAUUGUGGUCAAUAAAGACGUCUUGAUAACACA
Molecule: non-coding RNA, 439 nt
Organism: Bemisia tabaci
Lineage: Eukaryota; Metazoa; Arthropoda; Insecta; Hemiptera; Aleyrodidae
Source: RefSeq, a predicted model, not a curated record